RNAcentral lists this long non-coding RNA (674 nucleotides) under Phoenix dactylifera (date palm). RNAcentral describes it as "long non-coding RNA (PDAC_LNC019627)". The record is from RNAcentral. Lineage: Eukaryota; Viridiplantae; Streptophyta; Magnoliopsida; Arecales; Arecaceae.
UUUCUAUAAAGGAGUUCGAUUAUCACAAAUCAAAGAUGGGUAUAAGAUACUGUACAAAUUGGCUUUAGUCCAAGUGGGAGUUGUUGGAAAUUGUGUCCCAAAGCCAAUUUUUAAUUGUAAGAAAUUGGAUUAUGUAUAUAUUUUAUUAAAAUGAAUAAAAAUUUAUUCUGGCAAUUUUCUAUUCAUCACAAGUGUUACAUCUUCAAAUAGAACUCCUGUGUAUUAUGAUAAAGUCCUUAGGACUAAUUUAGUGGAUAAAAGAGGUUUUAUCAUUUAGUCCUUAAACCAGUUCGCGACCAAAUGAUGAGCUGUCAAUUGGACAAUAGCUAUGUCAAGUAUAGGUCGUUGUGUGUCAUUUAGUUGGUUGUCCUCUUAAACCAAGAAGUGUGGAGACACUGUAUGGCAUACAGGUGAGAUGUAGGAGUACAUCAUCACUGAACAGUGACUCACCUGCGUAGCACUCCACUGUCGGAAGUUAGCUCGCAAAGCGUAUGGGCAUAAGUACCCCUUAGACCUGAGACUGUCACGGUGACUUGCAAGCAACUCACUGUAGUUAGGCACUGGAUGACCUGAAUUUCUAAUUCAGGGAUCAGAAGGAUGCUGGGUNUAGUCAAGUACUCGCAAAGUCUGUGUAUGAGUCAAGAUGGGAUUGACCGCUCCAGAUUAUAGGAUUU